CGCGGGGUGGAGCAGAAAGGUAGCUCGCCGGGCUCAUAACCCGGAGGUCGAAGGUUCGAAUCCUUCCCCCGCCACAA
RNAcentral lists this transfer RNA (77 nucleotides) under bacterium. Its description in RNAcentral is "tRNA-Met". It matches the Rfam family "tRNA". Rfam says of the family: Transfer RNA (tRNA) molecules are approximately 80 nucleotides in length. The record is from RNAcentral.